AAGUUUUCAAGAGUUUGUGGGUAGU
RNAcentral lists this non-coding RNA (25 nucleotides) under Rattus norvegicus (Norway rat). The record is from RNAcentral. Lineage: Eukaryota; Metazoa; Chordata; Mammalia; Rodentia; Muridae.